RNAcentral lists this ribosomal RNA (460 nucleotides) under uncultured bacterium. RNAcentral's name for it is "partial 16S ribosomal RNA". It matches the Rfam family "Bacterial small subunit ribosomal RNA", at positions 338 to 795 of the family's 1533-position model. The record is from RNAcentral.
CCUACGGGAGGCAGCAGUGAGGAAUAUUGGUCAAUGGACGGAAGUCUGAACCAGCCAUGCCGCGUGCAGGAAGACGGCUCUAUGAGUUGUAAACUGCUUUUGUACAAGGGUAAACCUGAAUACGUGCAUUCAGCUGAAAGUACUGUACGAAUAAGGAUCGGCUAACUCCGUGCCAGCAGCCGCGGUAAUACGGAGGAUCCAAGCGUUAUCCGGAUUUAUUGGGUUUAAAGGGUGCGUAGGCGGAUUGAUAAGUUAGAGGUGAAAUGUCCGGGCUUACCUCGGUAACUGCCUCUAAUACUGUUGAUCUAGGGAGUAGAUGCGGUAGGCGGAAUGUAUGGUGGAGCGGGGAAAUGCUUAGAGAUCAUACAGAACACCGAUUGCGAAGGCAGCUUACCAAUCUAUAUCUGACGUUGAGGCACGAAAGCGUGGGGAGCAAACAGGAUUAGAUACCCCUGUAGUC